AUACGAAGGUCCCAAGCGUUGUUCGGAAUCACUGGGCGUAAAGGGAGCGUAGGCGGCGUGGUAAGUCAGAUGUGAAAUCCCGGGGCUCAACCCCGGAACUGCAUCCGAUACUGCCAUGCUAGAGGAUUGGAGAGGUAGCUGGAAUUCUUGGUGUAGCAGUGAAAUGCGUAGAGAUCAAGAGGAACACUCGUGGCGAAAGCGAGCUACUGGACAAUUCCUGACGCUGAGGCUCGAAGGCUAGGGUAGCGAAAGGGAUUAGAUACCCCUGUAGUCCUAGCAGUAAACGGUGCACGCUUGGUGUGAGGGGAAUCGACCCCCCUUGUGCCGGAGCUAACGCGUUAAGCGUGCCGCCUGGGAAGUACGGUCGCAAGACUAAAACUCAAAUGAAUUGGCGGGG
This 397-nucleotide ribosomal RNA is filed under the name uncultured bacterium. Its description in RNAcentral is "partial 16S ribosomal RNA". It matches the Rfam family "Bacterial small subunit ribosomal RNA", at positions 523 to 918 of the family's 1533-position model. The record is from RNAcentral.